AGCGAACGCUGGCGGCAGGCCUAACACAUGCAAGUCGAGCGCCGUAGCAAUACGGAGCGGCAGACGGGAGAGUAACACGUGGGAACGUACCCUUUGGUUCGGAACAACCCAGGGAAACUUGGGCUAAUACCGGAUAAGCCCUCACGGGGAAAGAUUCAUCGCCGAAGGAUCGGCCCGCGUCUGAUUAGCUAGUUGGUGGGGUAAUGGCCCACCAAGGCGACGAUCAGUAGCUGGUCUGAGAGGAUGAUCAGCCUCACUGGGACUGAGACACGGCCCAGACUCCUACGGGAGGCAGCAGUGGGGAAUAUUGGACAAUGGGCGCAAGCCUGAUCCAGCCAUGCCGCGUGGGUGAUGAAGGCCCUAGGGUUGUAAAGCCCUUUCGGCGGGGAAGAUAAUGACGGUACCCGCAGAAGAAGCCCCGGCUAACUUCGUGCCAGCCGCCGCGGUAA
RNAcentral lists this ribosomal RNA (449 nucleotides) under uncultured bacterium. Its description in RNAcentral is "partial 16S ribosomal RNA". It matches the Rfam family "Bacterial small subunit ribosomal RNA", at positions 29 to 523 of the family's 1533-position model. The record is from RNAcentral.